GGCAGCUACACAUGCAGUCGAGCGGUAGCACAGAGAGCUUGCUCUCGGGUGACGAGCGGCGGACGGGUGAGUAAUGUCUGGGAAACUGCCUGAUGGAGGGGGAUAACUACUGGAAACGGUAGCUAAUACCGCAUAAUGUCGCAAGACCAAAGUGGGGGACCUUCGGGCCUCAUGCCAUCAGAUGUGCCCAGAUGGGAUUAGCUAGUAGGUGGGGUAACGGCUCACCUAGGCGACGAUCCCUAGCUGGUCUGAGAGGAUGACCAGCCACACUGGAACUGAGACACGGUCCAGACUCCUACGGGAGGCAGCAGUGGGGAAUAUUGCACAAUGGGCGCAAGCCUGAUGCAGCCAUGCCGCGUGUGUGAAGAAGGCCUUCGGGUUGUAAAGCACUUUCAGCGGGGAGGAAGGCGUUGAGGUUAAUAACCUUGUCGAUUGACGUUACCCGCAGAAGAAGCACCGGCUAACUCCGUGCCAGCAGCCGCGGUAAUACGGAGGGUGCAAGCGUUAAUCGGAAUUACUGGGCGUAAAGCGCACGCAGGCGGUCUGUCAAGUCGGAUGUGAAAUCCCCGGGCUCAACCUGGGAACUGCAUUCGAAACUGGCAGGCUAGAGUCUUGUAGAGGGGGGUAGAAUUCCAGGUGUAGCGGUGAAAUGCGUAGAGAUCUGGAGGAAUACCGGUGGCGAAGGCGGCCCCCUGGACAAAGACUGACGCUCAGGUGCGAAAGCGUGGGGAGCAAACAGGAUUAGAUACCCUGGUAGUCCACGCCGUAAACGAUGUCGAUUUGGAGGUUGUGCCCUUGAGGCGUGGCUUCCGGAGCUAACGCGUUAAAUCGACCGCCUGGGGAGUACGGCCGCAAGGUUAAAACUCAAAUGAAUUGACGGGGGCCCGCACAAGCGGUGGAGCAUGUGGUUUAAUUCGAUGCAACGCGAAGAACCUUACCUGGUCUUGACAUCCACAGAACUUACCAGAGAUGGAUUGGUGCCUUCGGGAACUGUGAGACAGGUGCUGCAUGGCUGUCGUCAGCUCGUGUUGUGAAAUGUUGGGUUAAGUCCCGCAACGAGCGCAACCCUUAUCCUUUGUUGCCAGCGGUUCGGCCGGGAACUCAAAGGAGACUGCCAGUGAUAAACUGGAGGAAGGUGGGGAUGACGUCAAGUCAUCAUGGCCCUUACGACCAGGGCUACACACGUGCUACAAUGGCAUAUACAAAGAGAAGCGACCUCGCGAGAGCAAGCGGACCUCAUAAAGUAUGUCGUAGUCCGGAUUGGAGUCUGCAACUCGACUCCAUGAAGUCGGAAUCGCUAGUAAUCGUAGAUCAGAAUGCUACGGUGAAUACGUUCCCGGGCCUUGUACACACCGCCCGUCACACCAUGGGAGUGGGUUGCAAAAGAAGUAGGUAGCUUAACCUUCGGAGGCGCUACACUUG
RNAcentral lists this ribosomal RNA (1422 nucleotides) under Klebsiella quasipneumoniae subsp. quasipneumoniae. RNAcentral describes it as "bacterial SSU rRNA". It matches the Rfam family "Bacterial small subunit ribosomal RNA". Lineage: Bacteria; Pseudomonadati; Pseudomonadota; Gammaproteobacteria; Enterobacterales; Enterobacteriaceae. The record is from RNAcentral.